GUCAUACUACGGCGCAACGCCCUAAAAAGUAAACGAUGACCCAUAGGGAACUCCAGGGUAAAAUGGUUAUCAAAGAGGAAAUUGUAGCUGACCUGGGACUGCGCGCCCGGGUUGGUGUUUUUU
This is a non-coding RNA of Salmonella enterica subsp. enterica serovar Macclesfield, 123 nucleotides long. The record is from Rfam. NCBI's taxonomy places the organism in Bacteria, Pseudomonadati, Pseudomonadota, Gammaproteobacteria, Enterobacterales, Enterobacteriaceae.